RNAcentral lists this long non-coding RNA (3526 nucleotides) under Carica papaya (papaya). RNAcentral describes it as "long non-coding RNA (CPAP_LNC012585)". The record is from RNAcentral. Lineage: Eukaryota; Viridiplantae; Streptophyta; Magnoliopsida; Brassicales; Caricaceae.
CAAAAUGGCAAAUACUUUUAGACUUACGACCACUCUUUUUCUUCUUCUUCUUCUUCUUCCUCUACUAGCUUUCUUCCAAACCUGCCAUGGCGAAUCACCUGGCAUAGCCGUCUACUGGGGUCAAGACGGUCGCGAAGGAACCCUAACACAGGCUUGUACCAGCGGCCUCUAUUCCUAUAUCAUCAUAGCUUUCAUUUACGAGUACGGCAGCUACCAACCCCCUAAUGUUAACCUUGCCGGUCACUGCACUCCGUCCAUCAACAACUGCAAGUUCAUUGGCCCGGAGAUCACUGCUUGCCAAAACCUAGGAAUCAAGGUCUUAAUCUCCAUUGGUGGAGCAAACGGUCAGCGUCAGUCCCUCGCCGAUGCUGGCGAUGCUAAAUAUCUCGCCGAUUAUAUUUACAAUAAUUUCUUGGGUGGAUCCGCCUCCGACCGUCUGUUCGGAGAUGCUGUAUUGGACGGCGUUGAUUUCGACAUGGAGUCGCGAAGUUCAUAUCUUGACGAUCUUGCUAGGUACCUGCAUGAACAUAGUACACCGCAACGAAAGGUGUAUCUAUCGGCGGCUCCACAGUGUCCCUUCCCUGAUGCAAACAUUGGAGCUGCACUUAACACAGGGCUGUUCGACUAUGUUUGGAUUCAAUUAUUAAUAUAAUUUUAUCUGUUAUUUUCGACGUGAGUGUCAAGCUGGCAUCAGGGCGUCACAAAUUUUUAUAAAAAUAAUCAAUGAACGAUGAAAAUUAUAUAAACUAAGAAAAAACAGUAAAAGCAUUUCUAACAAGGUAAAAAUACACGAAAAACAGCCUCGUUCUAAUAAGAGAGAAUAGGGAGGGAAGAGUGUAUUUGAAUCCACUUAUUGUGUAACACAUUUUUUUCCUUUUUCUUUUGAUAAAAAAAUUAAAUUGAUUUUUCACAGUUAUAAAAUAUUUUUUUUACCUAAAAAUAUAAUAAAUUAAUUAAAAUUUAAUAUAAUUUGAUUAUUAUAAUUUAUAUAAUGAAAAAAUAUAGUAUAUUAAAUAUAUAUGAUAUGAAAUGGUUCGCAUCUAUAAAUACCCAGCAAAGAAGCUGAUGAAAACCACUCUUCUUCUUCUUCUUCUUCUUCUUCCUCUUCCUCUCCUAGCAUUCUUCCAAACCUCCCAUGGCGAAUGACCCGGCAUAGAUGUCUACUGGGGCCAAGACGCUCGUGAAGGAACCCUAACGACGGCUUGUAACAGCGGCCUCUAUUCCUCUAUCAUCGUAGCAUUCAUUUACGAGUACGGUGGUUGCCAACUCCCUUCCGUCAACCUUGCCGGUCACCGCAACCCAGCUGACAACGGCUGCAAAUUCAUCGGCCCAGAGAUCACCACUUGCCAGAACCUAGGAAUCAAGGUCUUAAUAUCCAUUGGGGGAGCAUAUGGUCGUCGCCAAUCCCUCACGGACUCUACUGAUGCCAAAUAUCUCGCAGAUUAUAUUUACAAUAAUUUCUUGGGCGGAUACGCUCCAAACCGUCUGUUCGGAGAUGCUGCGUUAGACGGCGUUGAUUUCGACUUGGAGUCGCCAAGUUCAUAUCUUGACGAUCUUGCUAAGUACCUGCACGUAUAUAGUACACCACAACGAAAGGCGUAUCUAUCGGCGGCUCCACAGCGCAUCUUCCCGGAUGCGAACAUUGGAGCUGCACUUAAUACAGGCUUGUUAGACUACGUUUGGAUUCAGUUUUACAACAAUCCUCCAUGUCAAUAUAAUGGGGAUAGUCAAAAUCUUAUUGCAGCAUGGAAGAAAUGGACCUCGUCGAUAAAUGCUCGAUAUUUCUUCGUGGGAUUACCAGGAUCUCCGCAAGCUGCAGGAAGUGGGUAUGCUAACUCCACCCAGAUUUGCAAAGAAAUUCUUCCUGAGAUAAAGAAAUCAGCAAAGUAUGGCGGCGUAAUGAUUUGGUUACAAAAUCAGUCCCGAGAUCAUUAACUGCAUGAAGGAAUCAAGCCUGAUCAAAUCUGUCGCUGAGUAUUAAUGCACCACCUGAGUAAUAAUGUGAAAUAAAAUUAAGCAUCAUCAGAUUAAUUAUCACGAUCAUAUGAAGUUUGUAGUGAUCUCAUGGGGAAAUUUACUAUCAUAAGACCCCUCCAUGUAUUACUUACAUAUAAUAUAUUAGUACUUUGAUUCCCAUGUCCCAUAUACUUACUUACGUACAUUAUACUAUCUAUAUAUAUAUAUAUAUAUUUGAAAACUCUCAUUUUAGAUAUGAUUUAACAUUGCUAAUAAGAAUAAAGACUUACAUAUUUUUUGGUAUCUACACUUUUUGCUUUAUUUAAUUUUGUUUUUUAUACAAUUUUUUUUUCUUCGUUUGGUCCUUGUACUUUUAAAAACUAUUCGUAUUUACCCAUAUUUAUUAGUUUUUGUUAUCUCCGUUAAUUUAUUUAUUAUGUAUCAUCAGAAUUAACAUACGAUAUAAUUUAUUUAUUAUAUAUUUGUCAUUAUACAGGAAUAUAUAUAUAUAUCUUGGCAUCUAAAAAUUUCUGAAUAAUUUCUGAGUAUUUGAUCCUAUGUAUAAUAAUUUAUUUUAAUCAACUCUGACUAUCUAUAUUUUAACAGUAAUAUAAGAUCAUAAUUGAUAUUUAAUUUGGAAACAAAAUUGAGGAUUAUGAAAUCUAAUAGUUUGGUGUCUAAAACAAAAAUGACUAAAGUAAUCUUAGCAUAAACGUAAAUACUCAUCGUAUCGGUAGCUGAAUGAUAAUCUUUUCGACUAUUGGUUGGAUUAUUCGGACGAAGAAAAUGAAACCCUCUUCAAAAGUGAUAAGAACGAUAACAUCUCUUACAACUCUUUCGUUAUUGGUACUACUUCAAAGUACUAGAAAAUUUAAAAAUUUUAUCGUAAUUUGAUAGAGCAAAUUACUCCCACGAGAUAUUUUUUAGUGGGUCGAAAGAAUCUCUUUCUAAAUAGUUUAAGUUUGAUACACAUACUCCGAACGUGGUGACUCGGGCAUGAGUAUAAUUUUAAUUUCUUAAUUUUUUUUUGCUAUUUUUCACAGAAAAAUAAGAAACUAAAGAUGAGGGGCUGGUGCAAAUGUAGGUAGGAGAAUUAAGAAAGUGAAGAUCAACAAGGAUCAAUUGGGUUCGCGCCACGUGUCAAAAUAAUAAAUGGAUUGGAACUGUUUCAUGGAUUUACGUUAACUAUUAGAAUAUUUUUUUUGUUUUGAAAGUUUGUAAUUCAUAUAUGUUUGCUUACAAAAUUUUAUAUUAUUAUUUAGAAAAUUAUACAUCAAAUACUGGCAGGACAUGAACAGAGUACGUGGUUUGAACAUAUGAUUCACAUCUAUAAAUAGCUAGCGGAGAAGUUGAUGAAAACCCAACAAACAAAACCAAAACAAAAUGGCAAUUAACAUUAAACCUACAGCCACUCUUCUUCUUCUUCUUCCUCUCCUAGCAUUAUUCCAAACCUGCCAUGGCGAAUCACCUGGCAUAGCCGUCUACUGGGGUCAAGACGGUCGCGAAGGAACCCUAGCACAGGCUUGUAAUAGCGGCCUCUAUUCCUAUAUCAUCAUAGCUUUCAUUUUCG